This 589-nucleotide long non-coding RNA is filed under the name Ananas comosus (pineapple). RNAcentral's name for it is "long non-coding RNA (ACOM_LNC020011)". Lineage: Eukaryota; Viridiplantae; Streptophyta; Magnoliopsida; Poales; Bromeliaceae. The record is from RNAcentral.
AUUUUUUUUAUUUUUUCUUCGGCUAAAUUAUAGAAAAUUUUUUAUAAUACUCCCUUUUUUUUAUUUUCUUUCUUCUGAUUUUUAAAAAUUUAUAUUUACCCUUUUAAAAUUUUAGAAAUAUUUUUAAAAAUAUGGCGUUAAUGAAGAGGGCAAUAGAGCAUGGCUACAGUGCUAUUAGGAGCACAACAGUUUUUGUGCUUCUAACUUCGUAACCAUCUAUCAAUUUUGAUGGAUGGUUAGGAAGCGAGGGAGAAGAAAAACUGAGGAGAAAUUGGGUGUCUCAAUUCUUUUCUUUUUAAACACCACGAACAUACUAGGCUAAUAACUUGGUAGCACCAAGUUAUUAGUCCAGUAGGGUAUUUAAAAUUUUGUGUAUAUAAGUUAAUGAAAUAUUAACGGAGGAGCUGACGAAAAGAGAAAAAUGAAACCACAUGAAACUAACUUGAUACACUUUAAAGCAUAGGGUACUAAAGUGAAAAAGUGCGAAACCACGGGAGUGGUAUUUGAAGUUUACCAUACAUUUUUUAUUAUUUAAUUUUAUAAUAAAAUUACAAGUAUUAAAACAGAGAUUCUACAUUUUCCCCUCCCU